UAGGUAAAACCAGCUAAGUCUGUGACAAGCAGGUAAAAUCUUGGUUAAUUGUGUGAUUCUGCUAUUUUCUCAUAUACUCGGAAGCCUUAUUUUUCCUAUGUAAGUUACAGUGAUUGCUGUUGACAUGUCUUGUUCAGAUGGCACUUCCAAAGGUGGUUGUAUUAGUGGAAGUUUUGUAGAUCAAGAGUUGGUCAUUCAGACAUUUAAGGUAAUUUAUGUCAUCUAAAGAUUCUCCUGGAAGCAAGUUGUCCAGUGGAUGCGGCAGGGAUAGUGAGCGUAGAGCAAACUUGCAGUGCUGCAUUGGCAUUGCUUGCUUCAUCCAUGAUUCAUCCUCAUCCAGUAGAGAAAUCAUCAUGUCGCUGGAAAGCAUAUAUCUCAAAGUUGAGUAUGUUUGAUUCACAGCAACAAGAAGCUAUAAGAGUUCCCAUAAGAUCUCCUCUCCAUUGAUCUCUGUUGAAGAAGCCAAUGGAAUAUGGGGUCUCGAUCUCCGAUUGGGGGGGGAUGAACGUUCUUGCAAUUCUUGGAAUAUGUUCGUAUACGUGGUUUUGUUCUAAUUUCUUCUUUAAAGUAAAUUUUUGUGUAUAAUUAUGUGUUUAGAACAGAUACUAGGUGGAAUAGGAAUAAUGUGAAGUUUAACCGGAAUCGAGGUGGGUGUAAAUGUAAAUAUCUUAUAAUUGUAUGUAUUACUAAUAAAAUAUAUUAAGCAUCAUUUAUCUUAUC
Musa acuminata subsp. malaccensis (wild Malaysian banana) is the source of this 720-nucleotide non-coding RNA. The record is from RefSeq and is a predicted model, not a curated record. Lineage: Eukaryota; Viridiplantae; Streptophyta; Magnoliopsida; Zingiberales; Musaceae.